AUGACGGCUGAAGUUCUGGUGCUAAGAUUCGGCCUAACCCUUGCGCAAAAGGCGGGCUGCAAUCGUCUCAUUAUUAAUUCUGAUGUGGAGAUCAUUGAUACCAUGAAGAAUGAAGGACAUUCUGCGGGAGCGGCGACGGUAGUUUUUGAUGAUUGUUAUUUUUUUGCUUAUGAUUUUUUUCUUACUAGUUUCGAACAUUGUAGUAGGGGAGCGAACAAAGUUGCUCAUGAGUUUGUUAGGUUAGCUAGAUUUUCUUCAACUAACGAUUGGUUUGAGGAGCCUAUGAGCAAAAUUGUACAUAUCCUACGAUGUAACUAUUAG
Molecule: ribosomal RNA, 321 nt
Filed under: Triticum aestivum (bread wheat)
Lineage: Eukaryota; Viridiplantae; Streptophyta; Magnoliopsida; Poales; Poaceae
Description: partial small subunit ribosomal RNA
Source: RNAcentral